RNAcentral lists this ribosomal RNA (253 nucleotides) under uncultured bacterium. Its description in RNAcentral is "partial 16S ribosomal RNA". It matches the Rfam family "Bacterial small subunit ribosomal RNA", at positions 524 to 776 of the family's 1533-position model. The record is from RNAcentral.
UACGUAGGGGGCAAGCGUUGUCCGGAAUCAUUGGGCGUAAAGAGCGUGUAGGCGGUCCGGUCAGUCGGUUGUGAAAGUCAAGGGCUCAACCCUUGAAUGCCGGCCGAUACUGCCGGGCUAGAGUCCGGAAGAGGUGAGUGGAAUUCCUGGUGUAGCGGUGAAAUGCGCAGAUAUCUGGAGGAACACCGGUGGCGAAGGCGGAUCUCUGGAACGGUACUGACGCUGAGACGCGAAAGCGUGGGGAGCGAACAGG